AAGAAUAUAAUUUAAAGGCAAAAUAAGAAGCUUCAAACUUCUCUUUCUCAGUUCGAAUCCGAGUAUUCUUGC
Molecule: transfer RNA, 72 nt
Filed under: Bacidia sp.
Lineage: Eukaryota; Fungi; Ascomycota; Lecanoromycetes; Lecanorales; Ramalinaceae
Description: tRNA-Trp
Rfam family: tRNA
About the family: Transfer RNA (tRNA) molecules are approximately 80 nucleotides in length. Their secondary structure includes four short double-helical elements and three loops (D, anti-codon, and T loops).
Source: RNAcentral